GUCUUGACAUCCACGGAAGUUUUCAGAGAUGAGAAUGUGCCUUCGGGAACCGUGAGACAGGUGCUGCAUGGCUGUCGUCAGCUCGUGUUGUGAAAUGUUGGGUUAAGUCCCGCAACGAGCGCAACCCUUAUCCUUUGUUGCCAGCGGUCCGGCCGGGAACUCAAAGGAGACUGCCAGUGAUAAACUGGAGGAAGGUGGGGAUGACGUCAAGUCAUCAUGGCCCUUACGACCAGGGCUACACACGUGCUACAAUGGCGCAUACAAAGAGAAGCGACCUCGCGAGAGCAAGCGGACCUCAUAAAGUGCGUCGUAGUCCGGAUUGGAGUCUGCAACUCGACUCCAUGAAGUCGGAAUCGCUAGUAAUCGUGGAUCAGAAUGCCACGGUGAAUACGUUCCCGGGCCUUGUACACACCGCCCGUCACACCAUGGGAGUGGGUUGCAAAAGAAGUAGGUAGCUUAACCUUCGGGAGGGCGCUUACCACUUUGUGAUUCAUGACUGGGGUGAAGUCGUAACAAGGUAACCGUAGGGGAACCUGCGGUUGGAUCACCUCCUU
RNAcentral lists this ribosomal RNA (554 nucleotides) under Escherichia coli. Its description in RNAcentral is "bacterial SSU rRNA". It matches the Rfam family "Bacterial small subunit ribosomal RNA", at positions 978 to 1532 of the family's 1533-position model. The record is from RNAcentral. Lineage: Bacteria; Pseudomonadati; Pseudomonadota; Gammaproteobacteria; Enterobacterales; Enterobacteriaceae.